Molecule: transfer RNA, 89 nt
Filed under: Candidatus Woesearchaeota archaeon
Lineage: Archaea; Nanobdellati; Candidatus Woesearchaeota
Description: tRNA-Met
Rfam family: tRNA
About the family: Transfer RNA (tRNA) molecules are approximately 80 nucleotides in length. Their secondary structure includes four short double-helical elements and three loops (D, anti-codon, and T loops). Further hydrogen bonds mediate the characteristic L-shaped molecular structure. tRNAs have two regions of fundamental functional importance: the anti-codon, which is responsible for specific mRNA codon recognition, and the 3' end, to which the tRNAs corresponding amino acid is attached (by aminoacyl-tRNA synthetases). tRNAs cope with the degeneracy of the genetic code in two manners: having more than one tRNA (with a specific anti-codon) for a particular amino acid; and 'wobble' base-pairing, i.e. permitting non-standard base-pairing at the 3rd anti-codon position.
Source: RNAcentral
GGCGCUGUAGCUCAGCCUGGUAGACCUUUUGGCCAGUUAGCAAUGGUCUCAUGAGCCAUGGGCCGGGAGUUCAAAUCUCCUCAGCGCCA